This 497-nucleotide ribosomal RNA is filed under the name uncultured bacterium. RNAcentral describes it as "partial 16S ribosomal RNA". It matches the Rfam family "Bacterial small subunit ribosomal RNA", at positions 28 to 507 of the family's 1533-position model. The record is from RNAcentral.
GAUGAACGCUGGCGGCGUGCUUAACACAUGCAAGUCGAGCGAACGGACGAUAAGCUUGCUUUUCUGAUGUUUGCCGCGCACGGGUGUGUCACACGUGUAAAACCCACCUAUCAGACUGGUAUAAUUUCGGGAAACCGGAUCUUAUACCGUAUAAGAUUCUGAACCACAUGGUUCAAUGGUGAAAGACGGUGUUGCUGGCACUUAUCGAGGGUUAUGCGCUGCAUGAGCUAGUUGGUACGUUAACAGCCUAUCAAGGCGAGGAUGCCUAGCCGACUGGAGAGGGUGGUCGGCCACACUGGAAGGGAGACACGGUCCAGGGGCCUGCGGGAGGGACCAGUAGGGAAUCGGGCGCAAUGGGCGGGAACCUGACGGAGCGGGGCCAAGUGUGUGAUGAAGGUCUUCGGAUCGUAAAACUCUGUUAUUAGGGAUGAACAUAUGUGUAAGUAGCUGAGCACAUAUUGACGGUACCUAAUCAAGAAGCCACGGCUAACUACGUG